Molecule: ribosomal RNA, 253 nt
Filed under: uncultured bacterium
Lineage: Bacteria
Description: partial 16S ribosomal RNA
Rfam family: Bacterial small subunit ribosomal RNA
Source: RNAcentral
UACAGAGGUGGCAAGCGUUGUUCGGAAUUACUGGGCGUAAAGGGCGCGUAGGCGGCUAGAUGUGUCAAAGGUGAAAUCCCUCGGCUCAACUGAGGAACUGCCUUUGAAACUGUCUGGCUUGAGGCCGGGAGAGGGUAGCGGAAUUCCCAGUGUAGCGGUGAAAUGCGUAGAUAUUGGGAGGAACACCUGCGGUGCAGACGGCUUACUGGACCGUAACUGACGCUGAGGCACGAAAGCGUGGGGAGCAAACAGG